GGAAGCGUGGCCGAGUGGUUGAAGGCACUGGUCUUGAAAACCAGCAAUGGGCAACUAUUCGUGAGUUCGAAUCUCACCGCUUCCGCCA
Molecule: transfer RNA, 88 nt
Filed under: Chromobacterium amazonense
Lineage: Bacteria; Pseudomonadati; Pseudomonadota; Betaproteobacteria; Neisseriales; Chromobacteriaceae
Description: tRNA-Ser
Rfam family: tRNA
About the family: Transfer RNA (tRNA) molecules are approximately 80 nucleotides in length. Their secondary structure includes four short double-helical elements and three loops (D, anti-codon, and T loops).
Source: RNAcentral